This 696-nucleotide ribosomal RNA is filed under the name uncultured fungus. RNAcentral's name for it is "eukaryotic LSU rRNA". The stretch from base 274 to 427 matches the Rfam family "5.8S ribosomal RNA". The record is from RNAcentral. Lineage: Eukaryota; Fungi.
GUUUCCGUAGGUGAACCUGCGGAAGGAUCAUUAUUGAAUAAACCUGAUGUGGCUGUUAGCCGGCUUUUCGAAGCAUGUGCUCGUCCGUCAUCUUUAAUCUCUCCACCUGUGCACAUUUUGUAGUCUUGGAUACCUCUCGAGGCAACUCGGAUUUUAGGAUCGCCGUGCUGUAAAAGUCAGCUUUCCUCUCAUUUCCAAGACUAUGUUUUUAUAUACACCAAAACAUGUUUAAAGAAUGUCAUCAAUGGGAACUUGUUUCCUAUAAAAUUAUACAACUUUCAGCAACGGAUCUCUUGGCUCUCGCAUCGAUGAAGAACGCAGCGAAAUGCGAUAAGUAAUGUGAAUUGCAGAAUUCAGUGAAUCAUCGAAUCUUUGAACGCACCUUGCGCUCCUUGGUAUUCCGAGGAGCAUGCCUGUUUGAGUGUCAUUAAAUUCUCAACCUUCCAGCUUUUAUUAGCUUGGUUAGGCUUGGAUGUGGGGGUUGUGGGCUUCAUUAAUGAGGUCAGCUCUCCUUAAAUGCAUUAGUGGAACUUUUGUGGACCGUCUAUUGGUGUGAUAAUUAUYUACGCCGUGGAUGUGAAACAGCUUUAUGAAGUUCAGCUUCUAAUCGUCCAUUGACUUGGACAAUUUUUGACAAUUUGACCUCAAAUCAGGUAGGACUACCCGCUGAACUUAAGCAUAUCAAUAAGCGGAGGA